UAUAUACUCCCUCCGUUCGAAAUUACUUGUCACACAAAUUGAUAAAAUGUAUGUAUAUAGAAUUAAAAUACAUCUAGAUACAUCCAUUUCUAUGACAAGUAUUUUUGGAUGGAGGGAGUAUAUU
This is a non-coding RNA of Hordeum vulgare subsp. vulgare (domesticated barley), 124 nucleotides long. The record is from Rfam. Lineage: Eukaryota; Viridiplantae; Streptophyta; Magnoliopsida; Poales; Poaceae.